CUCUAAACCACAAUCGUUUCAUCCGCCGCUCCACCUUUCUUUACAAACCCUAGAUCCUCCAUCGCUCCUCCACCUUUCAUCCAUGGAACCGGUCGUCGCCAUCACCGUCUUCUCCCCUUUCAUCCAUGGAACCGGUACCGUUUUUUACCCUAUCUUUUGAAGACGAAGACCGAUGAACAGGUGAAAGAGAUAACACUGCGGCUUGGUUCAAGAACCUUCAAAUUCAGCCUUAGUGAAAUGUGAAUACAGUUGAAGAUGAAGACCGUGGGGUCUUCAUUCUUUUGUGAGCAUCAUGUUGGCUGUUUGCUGGAUGCACUCGCGAAUCGUGGUCUGUCGAAUACAUUGGCUACUCGGAUAUUGGUUGAAGCAGGGGCUGGUGGUCAGAGUUUUGGAAUUCAUGUUGCAGAGUUUGCAAACUUUCCUAAAAGUGUUGUUUUUCUUGCUAGAGAAAAAGCUGUUGAGUUGGAGGGUUUCUCACAUCUUUUAGCUAUAUCAAAUUGGUCUGAACAAGUGGUAUUUUUCUAAUCAGCUAAUCAACCCAUUCCUAAUGGAAGCUUGCAACUGGGGAAUUAAAUCAUCUUUUCAUUCGAUAUUGUUUUUUACAUAAAUGGAAGCACUUAUAUUUGUAAGAGAAGAGGCCUCCUAUGAUGAUGUUGCAGCUCAAAAUGAAGUUGAUUCAAACGCCAAGCCUGAAUCAGAUGACAGUUAGUUUAGAGUGAAUCUGUGAGAUAUGUGGCUAAAAAGCUAUAAUUCGAAUCGGCGUGUGUGAGUGUUCGGUGUUGUAUCUUCGACACAAGGUGGGGUGGGGCAUCAUGGGGUGUAUUUGAAUCAGCAUGUGUGAGUGCUCGGUGUUAUAUUGUGACCGAAGACAGGGUAAGGGCAUCAUGGGGUGUCUUAUGGAAGGAAGCACGGUGUUUGCCUUUGAAGAAUAUUUUAUUAAAUAUGCCACACCGGAAGAGGCUAAUAAGGUGUACACGCCUUAAAGCAGGCCGAGGUUCAGGCACAAGCAUAUGCCCAAGCUGGUCUCUCUUCAACAACACCAUCAGUUCUCACUAUGGGCUCAAAGGUUGUCUAAGUAGGCGAUUUUCAGCAUAUCAAAUGAUGCAGCUAGGCUUCAAUCAGCUGGUAGAUCAGCAUCAAAUGAUGCAGCUGGGCUUCAAUCAGCUACAGCAUGGGAAGCCGUUGAGCCGAGCCGAGAGAGGCGAGCUUGUUAAACGACAUGUUUCGAGUAACCGGCAGGUUAAUCUUGGUAAGAUAUAACUAUUAACUGUUUAAGUGAAGCAGUUAUGGUUAAUGUUAGUUGAAAUGACAGGAGAAACCUUGUGGUAAGAUUAUUCUUAGGACUGGUGGUGUGCUGUAUCUUUUUCGGGAUAGACAUUAUGAUCCGCACAACAGGCCGAAAUACCCUGUGAUGCUGUGGAAGCCUGCGUCUUUCUUGGUCAAAAGACCUAAUAUGGUGUGCCUUAGUAUUAAAAGACCUAGGUGAUUAGCUUGGUUGAACAAGUUAAAAUGGUUUGGUUUUGAGUGGUUUUUUUUUCUUGAAGUCGUUCGUAUUAAAAUUUUAAAAUGAUGAAGGCAGUUUGUUAAUAUAUUACAUAUAAGUAAAUGUAUAGUUAAACAACUGGUUUCAAGCUUUAUACCGUCAAAACUGAACUUGGACCAAACCAUUAAAUGAUCAAAACUGACUGAAGUAGAGGUGAACAAUACCGGGUUUUUUAGGCGUUCAGGUAUGAACCCGGGUACAGGUAAGACCAGGUAUGUUUUUUUUCGUGUAUUGGCAAUAACUGGGUUGUGUUCGGGAGACGACUAAUAAACUAACGGGUAAACAUGUAUCCUAAAAUUGCAGCUGGCUAGAUACUUAUUAGUGUGAAGUUUUUUCAUAAUAUAAACUUGCAAGCUACAAGUGGAACUUUAAUGGCUAAUCUUUCAACAGCCUGGGAUGCAAAUUUGUUCACCAGAUCUUGGUACAAACAUCACUAUUUAGCCUUUCUCAGCAUUAUUUGGUACAGCCUUCUGUUUUCUGUUCGCCUUUAAACCCACUUUGAGGAUUCAAAUCGGCUGAUUAUGAUCGCUCUCGCACCUGAUCCGUCGCGUUUAUUGUUGUUUCGAAUAAGAGUUGUUUUAACAGCUGUAAUACAUGGUCAAGCAUUGGAACUCUACAACUUUUCCCAUGCUUUUUGAUAUUGAACCUGACAUCUCCUACAACACAAUACAACACAAGUGAUGAGUCAAAAAAUGGCUAUUUCAAAAAGUUGGAGAAUGCUAAAGAGAGGUUGCAUCUUUUCAAGGCAUACAAGAUACAGGUUAUUGGUGGGCUGCCUCCAAUUAAAAGUUAUAAAAAAACAUUAUCAUGAGAGAUCCUUAGAAACAAAUCAACAAAUCGUUGUAAUUAUUGUUACAAAUUUAUAACGUUUAUUUUUUUAUCGAGUAAUGUUUAUCGUUGUAAUUUUGUUAACAAAUUUAUGAUGUUCAGCAUAUUGCACUUCG
Long non-coding RNA from Helianthus annuus (common sunflower), 2487 nucleotides. RefSeq lists it as uncharacterized. NCBI's taxonomy places the organism in Eukaryota, Viridiplantae, Streptophyta, Magnoliopsida, Asterales, Asteraceae. The transcript has 11 exons. The record is from RefSeq and is a predicted model, not a curated record.